AUGGGGGAAAUGGCUGGAUGGAAUAUUGAGAAUAAGUUGUUUGCUUUGACCUUGGACAAUGCUGCUUCAAAUGAUGUUUGUGUUGACAGCAUCAUCUCUACCCUUAAAAAUCAUGAUUCUCUAUUAUGUCAAGGCAAGUUCUUUCAUGUGCGCUGUGCUACUCAUAUAAUUAACCUCGUUGCUAGGCAUGGUGUGAGCACGAUUGCAUCUAUUAUAGAUACUGUUCGUGCAUCAGUUUUUAUUGUCAAGAGCUCACCUCAACAACUAGAUAUAUUUAUGAAGCAUGCUACCGAUAUGGGAUUAUUCACAAAAAAGGGUCUUUCUCAAGAUGUGUCUACUAGAUGGAACUCAACCUACUUAAUGCUAGUAGCUGCCAUGCACUAUAAACAGGUUUUCCAAAGGCUUGCUAUUUUGCAACCAGCUAAGUAUCGCAAAUGUGCUCCUAGUAAAGAUGAUUGGGAUAAGGCAAGUGUGGUAUGCUCGUGCUUGAAGAUAUUUUAUAAUGUUACUAAGCUUCUGUCUGGAUCUUACUACCUGACUGCUAACCUGUUCUUUGUUGAAUUCUCUAAGAUUAACAUUUAG
RNAcentral lists this ribosomal RNA (582 nucleotides) under Triticum aestivum (bread wheat). Its description in RNAcentral is "partial small subunit ribosomal RNA". Lineage: Eukaryota; Viridiplantae; Streptophyta; Magnoliopsida; Poales; Poaceae. The record is from RNAcentral.